UACAGAGGGGGCGAGCGUUGUUCGGAAUUACUGGGCGUAAAGGGCGCGUAGGCGGCCAACUAAGUCAGACGUGAAAUCCCUCGGCUCAACCGGGGAACUGCGUCUGAUACUGGAUGGCUUGAAUUCGGGAGAGGGAUGCGGAAUUCCAGGUGUAGCGGUGAAAUGCGUAGAUAUCGGGAGGAACACCUGUGGCGAAAGCGGCGCACUGGACCACAACUGACGCUGAGGCGCGAAAGCUAGGGGAGCAAACAGG
RNAcentral lists this ribosomal RNA (253 nucleotides) under uncultured bacterium. RNAcentral describes it as "partial 16S ribosomal RNA". It matches the Rfam family "Bacterial small subunit ribosomal RNA", at positions 524 to 776 of the family's 1533-position model. The record is from RNAcentral.